RNAcentral lists this ribosomal RNA (252 nucleotides) under uncultured bacterium. RNAcentral's name for it is "partial 16S ribosomal RNA". It matches the Rfam family "Bacterial small subunit ribosomal RNA", at positions 524 to 776 of the family's 1533-position model. The record is from RNAcentral.
UACGUAGGUCCCAAGCGUUGUCCGGAUUUAUUGGGCGUAAAGCGAGCGCAGGUGGUUUAUUAAGUCUGGUGUAAAGGGCAGUGGCUCAACCAUUGUAUGCAUUGGAAACUGGUAGACUUGAGUGCAGGAGAGGAGAGUGGAAUUCCAUGUGUAGCGGUGAAAUGCGUAGAUAUAUGGAAGAACACCAGUGGCGAAAGCGGCUCUCUGGUCUGUAACUGACGCUGAGGUUCGAAAGCGUGGGUAGCAAACAGG